AUUCCUUCGAUUACAAUUCCUCUCCACUAAACUUACAACCUUGCAAUAAACAGUGACUGGAAACUUCCAUACAUCCUCAAUCUUUCACAACAAUUGAUAAACAGUGAUCCAUAAACAACUUUGUAAAUCAAAUAUUAAUUCAUUAAAUCGAUUCUCUUCACUAGAAUCAACACUAACACAAAAGAAAUAAGAAAACUAAGAAGAAGAGAUAGCACCAAGCUUAUCCCCGGCUCAGUACUAUCGCAGUCUGGCCCUCUGCUCACAACUCUCACA
This 273-nucleotide long non-coding RNA is filed under the name Physcomitrium patens. RNAcentral's name for it is "long non-coding RNA (PPAT_LNC006228)". Lineage: Eukaryota; Viridiplantae; Streptophyta; Bryopsida; Funariales; Funariaceae. The record is from RNAcentral.